GCUUACACAUGCAGUCGAGCGAGAAAGGGCUUCGGCCUGAGUAGAGCGGCGGACGGGUGAGUAACGCGUAGGAAUCUACCUAAUAGUGGGGGGAUAACGUUCCGAAAGGGGCGCUAAUACCGCAUACAUUCUGAGGAAGAAAGCUGGGGAUCGCAAGACCUGGCGCUAUUAGAUGAGCCUGCGUCCGAUUAGCUAGUUGGUGGGGUAAAGGCCUACCAAGGCGACGAUCGGUAACUGGUCUGAGAGGAUGAUCAGUCACACUGGAACUGAGACACGGUCCAGACUCCUACGGGAGGCAGCAGUGGGGAAUAUUGGACAAUGGGCGCAAGCCUGAUCCAGCCAUGCCGCGUGUGUGAAGAAGGCCUUUGGGUUGUAAAGCACUUUAAGCGGGGAGGAAGGCUCGAGCGUUAAUAGCGUUCGGGAUUGACGUUACCCGAAGAAUAAGCACCGGCUAACUACGUGCCAGCAGCCGCGGUAAUACGUAGGGUGCAAGCGUUAAUCGGAAUUACUGGGCGUAAAGCGUGCGCAGGCGGCUAUGCAAGACAGAUGUGAAAUCCCCGGGCUCAACCUGGGAACUGCAUUUGUGACUGCAUAGCUGGAGUACGGUAGAGGGGGAUGGAAUUCCGCGUGUAGCAGUGAAAUGCGUAGAUAUGCGGAGGAACACCGAUGGCGAAGGCAAUCCCCUGGACCUGUACUGACGCUCAUGCACGAAAGCGUGGGGAGCAAACAGGAUUAGAUACCCUGGUAGUCCACGCCCUAAACGAUGUCAACUGGUUGUUGGACGGCUUGCUGUUCAGUAACG
This 802-nucleotide ribosomal RNA is filed under the name uncultured bacterium. RNAcentral describes it as "bacterial SSU rRNA". It matches the Rfam family "Bacterial small subunit ribosomal RNA", at positions 46 to 848 of the family's 1533-position model. The record is from RNAcentral.